AUUGAACGCUAGCGGGAUGCUUUACACAUGCAAGUCGAACGGCAGCGCGGACUUCGGUCUGGCGGCGAGUGGCGAACGGGUGAGUAAUGUAUCGGAACGUGCCAAGUAGCGGGGGAUAACUACGCGAAAGCGUAGCUAAUACCGCAUACGCCCUACGGGGGAAGGCAGGGGAUCGUAAGACCUUGCACUAUUGGAGCGGCCGAUAUCGGAUUAGCUAGUUGGUGAGGUAACGGCUCACCAAGGCGACGAUCCGUAGCUGGUUUGAGAGGACGACCAGCCACACUGGGACUGAGACACGGCCCAGACUCCUACGGGAGGCAGCAGUGGGGAAUUUUGGACAAUGGGGGCAACCCUGAUCCAGCCAUCCCGCGUGUGCGAUGAAGGCCUUCGGGUUGUAAAGCACUUUUGGCAGGAAAGAAACGUCGCGGGCUAAUACCCCGUGGAACUGACGGUACCUGCAGAAUAAGCACCGGCUAACUACGUG
This 484-nucleotide ribosomal RNA is filed under the name uncultured bacterium. RNAcentral describes it as "partial 16S ribosomal RNA". It matches the Rfam family "Bacterial small subunit ribosomal RNA", at positions 30 to 507 of the family's 1533-position model. The record is from RNAcentral.